RNAcentral lists this ribosomal RNA (351 nucleotides) under Xenostrobus pulex. RNAcentral's name for it is "eukaryotic LSU rRNA". It matches the Rfam family "Eukaryotic large subunit ribosomal RNA", at positions 1 to 341 of the family's 3401-position model. The record is from RNAcentral. Lineage: Eukaryota; Metazoa; Mollusca; Bivalvia; Mytilida; Modiolidae.
CUCCGACCUCAGAUCAGACGAGAGUACCCGCUGAAUUUAAGCAUAUCACUAAGCGGAGGAAAAGAAACUAACUAGGAUUCCCCUAGUAAUGGCGAAUGAAGCGGGAAGAGCCCAGCACCGAAUCCCGCAGCCUUGCGCUGCAGGGAACUGUGGUGUUUAGGACGCCUAUUGCUGCAGCGUUCGGGUGCCCAGGUCCUCCUGAUCGGGGCCUCUCCCAGAGUGUGUGUCAGGCCUUUACUGGCACCCGACGCAGUGGCUCUGAACGUCCUUGGAGUCGGGUUGUUUGAGAAUGCAGCCCAAAGCGGGUGGUAAACUCCAUCUAAGGCUAAAUACCGACACGAGUCCGAUAGC